Non-coding RNA from Bombyx mori (domestic silkworm), 84 nucleotides. The record is from Rfam. Lineage: Eukaryota; Metazoa; Arthropoda; Insecta; Lepidoptera; Bombycidae.
UUAACUCAAGUUUGUAUCGAGUUGGAACGUUGGCCUACGUUUGCCGCUAGGAGCGCUGUUCCAAAUGCAUACAAAUUUGAUUUA